GCAGCGCGGGGCAACCUGGCGGCGAGUGGCGAACGGGUGAGUAAUAUAUCGGAACGUACCCAAGAGUGGGGGAUAACGCAGCGAAAGUUGCGCUAAUACCGCAUACGAUCUAAGGAUGAAAGCAGGGGACCGCAAGGCCUUGUGCUCCUGGAGCGGCCGAUAUCUGAUUAGCUAGUUGGUGAGGUAAAGGCUCACCAAGGCGACGAUCAGUAGCUGGUCUGAGAGGACGACCAGCCUCACUGGAACUGAGACACGGUCCAGACUCCUACGGGAGGCAGCAGUGGGGAAUUUUGGACAAUGGGCGCAAGCCUGAUCCAGCAAUGCCGCGUGAGUGAAGAAGGCCUUCGGGUUGUAAAGCUCUUUUGUCCGGGAAGAAACGCACUGGGUGAAUACCCUGGUGUAAUGACGGUACCGGAAGAAUAAGCACCGGCUAACUACGUGCCAGCAGCCGCGGUAAUACGUAGGGUGCAAGCGUUAAUCGGAAUUACUGGGCGUAAAGCGUGCGCAGGCGGUUGUGCAAGACAGAUGUGAAAUCCCCGGGCUUAACCUGGGAAUUGCAUUUGUGACUGCACGGCUAGAGUGUGUCAGAGGGGGGUAGAAUUCCACGUGUAGCAGUGAAAUGCGUAGAUAUGUGGAGGAAUACCGAUGGCGAAGGCAGCCCCCUGGGAUAACACUGACGCUCAUGCACGAAGCGUGGGGAGCAAACAGGAUUAGAUACCCUGGUAGUCCACGCCCUAAACGAUGUCAACUAGUUGUCGGGUCUUAAUUGACUUGGUAAC
This 779-nucleotide ribosomal RNA is filed under the name uncultured bacterium. RNAcentral's name for it is "bacterial SSU rRNA". It matches the Rfam family "Bacterial small subunit ribosomal RNA", at positions 69 to 847 of the family's 1533-position model. The record is from RNAcentral.